UACGGGGGGGGCAAGCGUUGUUCGGAAUUACUGGGCGUAAAGGGCUCGUAGGUGGCCAACUAAGUCAGACGUGAAAUCCCCAGGCUCAACUUGGGAACUGCGUCUGAUACUGGAUGGCUUGAAUUCGGGAGAGGGAUGCAGAAUUCCAGGUGUAGCGGUGAAAUGCGCAGAUAUCAGGAAGAACACCCGUGGCGAAGGCGGCUCUCUGGUACGGAACUGACGCUGAGACGCGAAAGCGUGGGGAGCGAACAGG
This 253-nucleotide ribosomal RNA is filed under the name uncultured bacterium. Its description in RNAcentral is "partial 16S ribosomal RNA". It matches the Rfam family "Bacterial small subunit ribosomal RNA", at positions 524 to 776 of the family's 1533-position model. The record is from RNAcentral.